GAUGAACGCUGGCGGCGUGCUUAACACAUGCAAGUCGAACGGGAAACCUUUUAUUGAAGCUUCGGCAGAUUUAGCUGGUUUCUAGUGGCGGACGGGUGAGUAACGCGUGGGUAACCUGCCUUAUACAGGGGGAUAACAACCAGAAAUGGUUGCUAAUACCGCAUAAGCGCACAGGACCGCAUGGUCCGGUGUGAAAAACUCCGGUGGUAUAAGAUGGACCCGCGUUGGAUUAGCUAGUUGGCAGGGUAACGGCCUACCAAGGCGACGAUCCAUAGCCGGCCUGAGAGGGUGAACGGCCACAUUGGGACUGAGACACGGCCCAGACUCCUACGGGAGGCAGCAGUGGGGAAUAUUGCACAAUGGGGGAAACCCUGAUGCAGCGACGCCGCGUGAAGGAAGAAGUAUCUCGGUAUGUAAACUUCUAUCAGCAGGGAAGAUAGUGACGGUACCUUACUAAGAAGCCCCGGCUAACUACGUG
Molecule: ribosomal RNA, 478 nt
Filed under: uncultured bacterium
Lineage: Bacteria
Description: partial 16S ribosomal RNA
Rfam family: Bacterial small subunit ribosomal RNA
Source: RNAcentral